UGGCGACCGGCGCACGGGUGCGUAACGCGUAUGCAACCUACCCAUAACAGGGGGAUAACACUGAGAAAUUGGUACUAAUACCCCAUAACAUCAGGACCGGCAUCGGUUCUGGUUGAAAACUCCGGUGGUUAUGGAUGGGCAUGCGUUGUAUUAGCUGGUUGGUGAGGUAACGGCUCACCAAACCGACGAUGGAUAGGGGUUCUGAGAGGAAGGUCCCCCACAUUGGUACUGAGACACGGACCAA
RNAcentral lists this ribosomal RNA (244 nucleotides) under uncultured bacterium. RNAcentral describes it as "partial 16S ribosomal RNA". It matches the Rfam family "Bacterial small subunit ribosomal RNA", at positions 89 to 334 of the family's 1533-position model. The record is from RNAcentral.